Molecule: ribosomal RNA, 471 nt
Filed under: uncultured bacterium
Lineage: Bacteria
Description: bacterial SSU rRNA
Rfam family: Bacterial small subunit ribosomal RNA
Source: RNAcentral
ACAUGCAAGUCAGGGGCAGCACAAGGAGCAAUCUGAGGUGGCGACCGGCGCACGGGUGAGUAACACGUAUGCAACCUGCCUGUAAGCGGGGAAUAACCCGUUGAAAGACGGACUAAUACCGCGAUAAUACUAAAUUACUGCAUGGUAAUUUAUUUAAACAUUUAUGGCUUACAGAUGGGCAUGCGCAUGAUUAGCUAGUUGGAGAGGUAACGGCUCCCCAAGGCAACGAUCAUUAGGGGUUCUGAGAGGAAGGUCCCCCACACUGGUACUGAGACACGGACCAGACUCCUACGGGAGGCAGCAGUGAGGAAUAUUGGUCAAUGGACGAGAGUCUGAACCAGCCAAGUCGCGUGCAGGAAGAAUGUCCCUAUGGAUUGUAAACUGCUUUUGCAGGGGAAUAAAGUGCAUCACGUGUGAUGUUUUGUAUGUACUCUGCGAAUAAGGAUCGGCUAACUCCGUGCCAGCCGCGGC